Molecule: long non-coding RNA, 76 nt
Organism: Sinocyclocheilus rhinocerous
Lineage: Eukaryota; Metazoa; Chordata; Actinopteri; Cypriniformes; Cyprinidae
Exons: 2
Source: RefSeq, a predicted model, not a curated record
GUAAGGCCAACAUUACAGCAAAAGAGGCCGUGUCGAGGUGGACAGAUAAUGUUUUUGCAAUCAAAUCCUGGGCAAA